CUACGUGCCAGCAGCCGCGGUAAUACGUAGGGUGCGAGCGUUAAUCGGAAUUACUGGGCGUAAAGCGGGCGCAGACGGUUACUUAAGCAGGAUGUGAAAUCCCCGGGCUCAACCUGGGAACUGCGUUCUGAACUGGGUGACUAGAGUGUGUCAGAGGGAGGUAGAAUUCCACGUGUAGCAGUGAAAUGCGUAGAGAUGUGGAGGAAUACCGAUGGCGAAGGCAGCCUCCUGGGAUAACACUGACGUUCAUGCCCGAAAGCGUGGGUAGCAAACAGGAUUAGAUACCCUGGUAGUCCACGCUGUAAACGAUGUCGAUUUGGAGGUUGUGCCCUUGAGGCGUGGCUUCCGGAGCUAACGCGUUAAAUCGACCGCCUGGGGAGUACGGCCGCAAGGUUAAAACUCAAAUGAAUUGACGGGGGCCCGCACAAGCGGUGGAGCAUGUGGUUUAAUUCGAUGCAACGCGAAGAACCUUACCUGGUCUUGACAUCC
This 489-nucleotide ribosomal RNA is filed under the name uncultured bacterium. Its description in RNAcentral is "bacterial SSU rRNA". It matches the Rfam family "Bacterial small subunit ribosomal RNA", at positions 501 to 989 of the family's 1533-position model. The record is from RNAcentral.